Hypomesus transpacificus is the source of this 363-nucleotide long non-coding RNA. RefSeq lists it as uncharacterized. The transcript has 3 exons. The record is from RefSeq and is a predicted model, not a curated record. Lineage: Eukaryota; Metazoa; Chordata; Actinopteri; Osmeriformes; Osmeridae.
GCCACGGCUACGGCCUGAGUAUGCUGAGGAAUCUAUCCCUGCAGGAUGCAGAAAAGGUCUUCAUCUCUGGACCAGUUUAUCAUCGGAGAAAACAGGUGCUGGCCACUGGAGGGGGGAACUCUGGGCCACAGUUAUCUGAGCUGGACCAGCGCAUUGGGGCCUUAAUUGGACAGACAGCCCUCACGGGUGUGCCAUCGGCCGAGGAUUUGGAUACAGACAUCGGCCCCGUGUCGGCUGUUUCAUCUCCUAGACCAUCUCCUAUCCAAGAAUUGGAAGAUAAAGUCCUGCCAGGGCAACAGCAACCACCCUCUGAAGCUGAACCUGAAGCAUCCACCAGCACAUCCAUUUACAUUUACAUUUAUU